CGGGAUGGACAUACCACUGGUGUACCAGUUGUUCUGCCAAGAGCAUCGCUGGGUAGCUAUGUAUGGCAGGGAUAAGUGCUGAAGGCAUCUAAGCACGAAGCCCCCCUCAAGAUAAGAUUUCCCAUCUCGAAAGAGAGUAAGACCCCAGAAAGACUAUCUGGUUGAUAGGUCGGAGGUGUAAGUGCAGUAAUGUACUAAGCUGACCGAUACUAAUAGGUCGAGGGCUUGACCA
This 232-nucleotide ribosomal RNA is filed under the name Alkaliphilus peptidifermentans DSM 18978. RNAcentral's name for it is "23S rRNA. Bacterial LSU". It matches the Rfam family "Bacterial large subunit ribosomal RNA", at positions 2693 to 2925 of the family's 2925-position model. The record is from RNAcentral. Lineage: Bacteria; Bacillati; Bacillota; Clostridia; Peptostreptococcales; Natronincolaceae.